Macaca mulatta (Rhesus monkey) is the source of this 4491-nucleotide long non-coding RNA. Lineage: Eukaryota; Metazoa; Chordata; Mammalia; Primates; Cercopithecidae. The record is from Ensembl.
AACUCCUCAGGCUCCUUAAUGCUCUGAUUAAUUGGCUGGUUCGGGCGGAUGGAGGUGCUCCUCUGCUGGGGACCUGGCGGGGUUUCGCUAGAUCAUUUGUUAAUUGUGGGAAGGAAGGUCGUAUUCGGGGAGAGGAAAUCCAGGGCUGGAAAAGUGGGUGAGCGGCGCUGGCACAGGCGGCCAGGAGGGAGCAGAUGAACUGUUCGUUAGGAGCAGCGAGGUAGUCGGGAGCGCUGAGAUUCAGAGACCAGGACCCACUCCCUCUCUGAGCAGCAAAUCGGGAAGAAGAUGCUCAUUCGGUAAGGGCGAGGGAGCCCUGCAAGGCGCCCCACCCCGGGCUCGGUCUAUCCGCGCGCCAAGAUCCCGCUUGGGGCGAGGCGCUGGGUCAGCGUUUAGAGCCACUCCCUGCGCUGGUGGCUGGACAUAGCCUCCCUAUCACACCUCAUCUUCCCCCUUCCCCGACGGCGGAGGUUGUGAAUCUACAGGCCCUUGACGUUGAGGCGUCGGAGGGCGCACCUUUGUAAUUGUGGCCUCACUUCGCCCCUUAAGUACCGCUUCCGGGCGCCGAGGCUGGAUAUGAAAGCCCGGUUCCUAAUCCUCUGCUUUGGCCCCCUCCUCCGGACUGCUGGGACUCCAACCUAGUUCCUCCCCAGUUUCCAUCACUGCGGCGCCAACCCGCGGCUGGGCUGUCUGCGAGAGGGAGCUGAAGGUGCGCGGAAUCCCGAGGUGCCGCUGACCUUCCUCUCAACGCUGACUCUGCGGCUCCCGUCCGGCCAUCUCCCUAUGGGGCAGACUUCCUGUUCUCCCGCUCACAGCAGGGAGGCAGUAGCGGAGCCGGUCAGCAGCUUGCACGGAGUUCUUCACUCUGCGCCCAGCCCCGGGACACAGGUGCAGAUCGCCAGCGGAGCACUGCGGAGUGCUCGCCGUCGUGCACUAGGGAAUCCUAGACGGAGGACUUGGUCCAUUCCACGCAGUCCCAGGCAGGUCCGCAGCGGAGGGACUCAGCGGUCUCCAACCCUUGGUCACGACUUCCGCGACCCUCCACCCCUCGAAGAGACCUGGUCCCGUGGAGCUGUCCCCCUAGGAGCCGCAGCGGGAAUAGCAAGGCAAAGGGGACCACUCAGCCCCCAGGAGGAGCCCAGAAGCGAGAAGGUUGCUGCGGGGAGCCUCUGGUUCCCUCUAGUUCACCUUGGAGCCCAGGAGCUCCCUGGACCAAGGAGUGAACAGACCUGAGGAAGAGCUUCUUAAGGUACAAGCUUAAAGUGUUGCUGCUAGACCUUUCUUCUCUUGUAAUUUACCAAGUGAGGAGUGUUGAAAUAUCCAACUAUAAUUUGUGGAUUUCUCCUUUCAAUACUAUCAUUUUUGGUGCUUCAUGUAUUUUUGAAGCUCUAUUUUUAGUGAUGCGAGACUGGAAAGAGGACAUGGCAUGGAGUCAGAAGAUUUGGGUUCAAGUUCCCGCUCUGCCAAUUACCAGCUGUAUGAUGUUGGGCCAACUGAGCCGCCUUCUCUUCGAGGAAGUUUUCCCUGAAGCCCUGAGGUAGGCCUGUGUUCUUCCAUGGCGGCCACAUCAGCACGCAGCACAUUUAGUUGUCUCCACAUAUGGCUAUUGACUCCUGCCUCACGAAGGCUGGUGCUGUCUCUACAGUGAAUAUUGUGCACCUCAGGGUAGAAUGGAGAGCGCAAGGCUUCAAAUCAGGCAGUCCAGGUUCAGACCCCAAUUCCAGUGCUAAAGAGCUGCGUGACUUUAGGCCGAUUGCGUGUGACUUCCCUGAGCCCCAGUCUCUUUGCCUGCAAAAUGAGAAAACUGAUAACAAUGUCAUCAGUUGUUCUGAGGAUUCUGAGAGGAAUUAGUAGGAGAGGGAACUGAGAAGCUGCAGGCAUCUACAAAGCUAUUCAACUGGCAUUUAGGAAGAUGUUGCCCGUCAGAGUCAGACCUUCUCAGCAUCUUCCGGCUGGGCCCAAACUUCCCAAGACCAUUUGGACAAGGUAAUCUCUAUCCCACCCUGGCCUCCUCCCGGAGGAGGAGAAGAAUCAUGCUGUUACAGAAAAACUGACGAUUUGGGCAAGAGAGCUAAUGGUUAUGUUCUGCAUCGGGUCAGAGAUGGGCUGGGAAAACCACUCCAAAGCCAAGAUAAGCAGUGUCCUGGAAAAAGAAGGCUGCAUGGAGCCCAGAGUGGCCUGGAUCCUGCCUCAUUUCCUGGACCAGCUCCUUAGGUGGUUACUGGAUGGCCAAUAAAGCAGAGCUUAUUAAAGUCAACGAACUCAGGCUUCAUCGCUGCCCUGGUAUCCAAGCACCAGUCUGCCUGGGAUUUCAUUUGCCUGAUGGACAAAGGAGAGGAUGUUCCAAUACAUAUCCUGAGUGGUGGGAGUGGGGAGAGAAGGGGAAGAAUGCUCUCUAGAGAUUUCUCUUUGUCCUCUGAGGUAAAUAGAGGUCAUGUCUUCCCUAACCACACUCAGUGAUCUGAAUCUCUUGGACUGUGGAUUUUUCCUUUACCUGCUGUGAAGUCUUGAAAAGUAUGAAUUAGCUAGAUAAUGAUCCUCUAAAGAUGUACAAGAGUUAAAGAUGUGUUUAAGUUCUUCAAGCAAUCCAAUAUGACUACAGGUUUCCAAAAAUUUGAAGGAAACUGAAAGUCACAGUUCCCAAACCAGAUAUUUUCCGGUGUCCAGAUGUUCAGUGGCAUGCAAACCAAAUGUCUGGAUUAUGAGCUCGUUUUUUCAUUUCUUUUUUUUUUUUCCAGCUUACAUGCAGAUGUUGGGUCCAACUGGUCAGAGGACUGGGGAAGAGAUAGAAAUAAAAUCUAGGGUGUUCAUCUAGAGUCUCCUGCUUCUCUAAUCCUGCUCCCUCUUCACGCUGCUCCCCACAUCCUCCCCAACUCAGCUUCAUGCUACAUCUUGGCAAAUAUAGCUCAUAUCCAGACACAGUGCUGCCCUUGACAGCUGGGUCCACAAAGGCAGGUCGGGUAUAUCUUUAAAGAAAAGUUAUCUUAACCAUUCAGAAGCCUUCCUUCCUCAGAGGAGAGCACCUCCCCAGCAGACCUCCGAGGAGAGCAAGGGCAGGACGGGAAGGAUAGAAGGAAGUUUCAAGACUGCAGGAAACAAGAGCUUGGAGGUCAAGGGAGAGAUCAGAGAAAACAUGAAUCUGAUCAGCAUCCUCGUGGUCUAGAGUGGAGACGAUCUGCAGAGUCAGCCUCAGUAAGGACACAGAUGUUCUGCCAAUUGAAUGGAAACUGUCCAUAGUGGGGAGCAGAGAGCCUCAUCCUGUCUGAACUGGACAUCCAUCCUUAAGGCCAGAGUUCUCCCACCACCAACUUUAACUCCUGCCCUAGCCCUCUCUCUUCCUUUUCAAAACCCUCUCCACCCAGGAAGGGAGAUUCUGGAGCCAAGACUGUACCAGCCACACCUCCCCAGAGUUGUUAAGCAAGGAACCCGAAGCCAGGGGUGGUCCUCUGGCAAUCACCCCCAUUACCAAUAGCAGGACAGAUGUGUUUCUGAUGGACUACACUAUCCCCGGAGGUCACACGAUUCAGGCUGCCAAAGGUACCUGCCCUUGGGAAAUCAACUCCUGAAGGUAAAUUGGGAUUGGGUCCUGAGAAGAUCCAUGGAAGCCCGGAGGACCCUGCCUCUCUCUGUUGCUUCAUGCUGUAGAGGCGGUACUGGGGAGGGCUGCCCACAUCCGGUGGGGCAGCUGGGACCAUACGUUUGAUGACACUCUGCUCCCUCAAUGUGGAGCCUCAUCCUCAUCUCACAGUCCAGCAGGCCUCUGGCGGGAUGGGCUUCUCUCACCCAGUGUGUGAGUUUUUUUGGAAGUGGCCUGAUUUUGGAGUUUCCCUCCAAGCCUUUCCCAGGCACAUGCUUUCUCUCCCAUUCUCUCUUCUUUUAUCAAUCUUCUUAAGUCUGAUUUUCUCCUUUUUCCCUCUGUUGUCUCCAUCUUUUUUCCAGUCUCUCACUUCUCUUUCUUUCUCCUCAUAUUUCACUCUGUUCUCUCACCCCUCCCUUUCCCUUCUGUUUCUCUCCCUCCCUCUCUUCCCACCCCCUGCCUGGCCUUCAAUAUAUCAAGCAAAGUUUUAUCACCUUAUGCAGGGGCAGCCCUGCCACUGCCAUAGAGUUGAUAGGCUAAUGACAUUUUGUGGAUAUUGCUAUGUCACAAGUGCAGGGACAGCAUCAAAAACAGCCCUGAUGUCUAAACCACUUCAGCUAUCUUUUUUAUUUUUUAAAUAAAUAUGUUCACAUGAUUUUAAGAAACUAUAAAAAUGUAUAAAGUAAAAAAAUCUUUCUCUCACACUGUCUCCACCUCUCCUGGUCUCUCCAUUGUGCUUUGAAAGGGGAAACCAUUGUGAUUAGUUUAUUCUAUGUCCUUCCAGAGUGUCUUUAUGCAAAUGAAAAUUAUUGUGAUAAUAUAUUCCUAUUUUUCCCCUUACUACACAAAAGGUAGACUACCAUAAUUCCAUUCUGCACUUUCUUUUAUCACUUGAUAAUAAAAACAUGAUUUUA